RNAcentral lists this long non-coding RNA (1456 nucleotides) under Piliocolobus tephrosceles (Ugandan red Colobus). RNAcentral's name for it is "lncRNA (ENSPTEG00000003897.1)". Lineage: Eukaryota; Metazoa; Chordata; Mammalia; Primates; Cercopithecidae. The record is from RNAcentral.
AAAAAAAAAAAAAAAAAAAAAAAAAAAAGUAAAAAAAAAAGUAAAAAGUAAAAAAAAAAGUAAAAAUCAGUGACAUUGUUAAAAACACGAUGUUGAGCGAACAACUGAACAAGCUGCGGAUAGAGAAAAAGGUACAACUGUUCGAAGAUAAAAAUAUAGAUAAGGUAACAAGAGUAAAAUAUGACUUAUUUCAGAGGAUUUAUAAAGACUUAGUAUUGUCUUCGUCACAUAUAGAAUCGAUAGAAAAUUGCCUAGAAGAAUUAAUACGUAUAAACUCAAAUUUUAAUAAUUUCAAAAUUUUGUUUAUUUUAGAUGAAUUCGAUUCUAUACAUGUUUUUUAUGACGAAAAGGAAAAAACCAAUAGAGGAGUAUACUUAAAACAUAGAAGUUUUUUAACACAAGAAGAAGAAAAAAAUGUAUUUGAAAAAAUAAAUGAAUUUUUAAAAUUAUGUUCUUUAUACUCUUAUUCAGAUUAUGUAAAAAUUUUAAUCGAAUUUUUAAUAUAUAAAUAUGAAAUAAAUAUAAAAUGUAGUCACAACUUAUUGUUAUGUUUGUUACCAAACAUUUCUUCACCUAACUUAAAAAAUAUUUUAGAAAUAAUAUAUAUUAAAAAAGAGUCACCUUUUUUUUUUAUAAACAAUUAUAAGAGAGACUCAUUAAACAAAAUAAAUAAUUCAGUUAUAGUACAUUAUAUUAAAAAGGAUAUAACACUAUAUAAAAUUUUUUUUGAGUAUUGUAUUCAAUUAAUUUUUACCAAAUUUAGUAAAGACAAUUAUAUUGCUUAUAUAAAUAACCCAAAUGAACAAAAACAAAAUAACUCACAUUUGUAUAUAGACUUUUUUAUAUCCAUUUCAAAAGAUGUUGUUAAUAGUUAUAUAGACAUUCCACAUAACAUUAUUGAAUUGUAUAGUAACAUAUUGAUUCUUCUUGUUAAUAAUUCGUUGAAAGUAAUAAACUCAAUUAAUGUAUGUACAGAACCACGUGUAAAAAAAUAUGUUGACAAUAGUAAUAUUAACAUUAUUGAAAAUAAAAAUGAGAUAAAUGGUAUUAAUAACAUACCUAUGUAUAAUGAGAACAAUAUCAACUAUAACCAAAGUAGUAACAACAAAAAAGGAAAAGAACACAAAACAAAACAAUAUGAACAAAACAAAAUAUACAUUACAAAUAUUUAUAACUGUAACAAUUUUUUUAAUAAAUUUUUAUCUAUAUUUAAACAAUCUAUUAGUAAAUGUAAAAGUGGAUUUCUUUUAGAUUUGUUAAAAAAUAAAAUAUGUACGUUUUUUUUCAAUAUACAAUUUUUAUCAAAAUGUAAAGAACAAAUAGAUAUAUAUGACUGUUGUUAUGAAUUUUUAAAAUGUGUCAUAACUCUUUUAAACAUAUGUUAUAAACAUAUGUAUAACAUAUCGUUUGAUAGUUAUAUUAAUACCAUCCAAAUCGCAUUGUUGCAGUAUAGAGA